UGGGGAAUAUUGCACAAUGGGCGAAAGCCUGAUGCAGCAACGCCGCGUGAGUGAUGAAGGUCUUCGGAUUGUAAAGCUCUGUCUUUUGGGACGAUAAUGACGGUACCAAAGGAGGAAGCCACGGCUAACUACGUGCCAGCAGCCGCGGUAAUACGUAGGUGGCGAGCGUUGUCCGGAUUUACUGGGCGUAAAAGGUGCGUAGGCGGAUGUUUAAGUGAGAUGUGAAAUACCCGGGCUUAACUUGGGUGCUGCAUUUCAAACUGGAUAUCUAGAGUGCAGGAGAGGAGAAUGGAAUUCCUAGUGUAGCGGUGAAAUGCGUAGAGAUUAGGAAGAACACCAGUGGCGAAGGCGAUUCUCUGGACUGUAACUGACGCUGAGGCACGAAAGCGUGGGUAGCAAACAGGAUUAGAUACCCUGGUAGUCCACGCCGUAAACGAUGAGUACUAGGUGUAGGAGGUAUCGACCCCUUCUGUGCCGCAGUAAACACAUUAAGUACUCCGCCUGGGAAGUACGAUCGCAAGAUUAAAACUCU
Molecule: ribosomal RNA, 532 nt
Filed under: uncultured bacterium
Lineage: Bacteria
Description: partial 16S ribosomal RNA
Rfam family: Bacterial small subunit ribosomal RNA
Source: RNAcentral